Molecule: ribosomal RNA, 613 nt
Filed under: uncultured Gammaproteobacteria bacterium
Lineage: Bacteria; Pseudomonadati; Pseudomonadota; Gammaproteobacteria
Description: bacterial SSU rRNA
Rfam family: Bacterial small subunit ribosomal RNA
Source: RNAcentral
UGAGUUUGAUCAUGGCUCAGAUUGAACGCUGGCGGCAGGCCUAACACAUGCAAGUCGAGCGGUAACAGGACUAGCUUGCUAGUUGCUGACGAGCGGCGGACGGGUGCGUAACACGUAGGAAUCUGCCCGGUAGUGGGGGAUAGCCCGGAGAAAUCCGGAUUAAUACCGCAUACGCCUUACGAGGGAAAGAAGGGGCCUCUUCGGAGCCUUUCGCUAUCGGAUGAGCCUGCGUCGGAUUAGCUAGUUGGUGGGGUAAAGGCCUACCAAGGCGACGAUCCGUAGCUGGUCUGAGAGGAUGAUCAGCCACACUGGGACUGAGACACGGCCCAGACUCCUACGGGAGGCAGCAGUGGGGAAUAUUGCACAAUGGGGGAAACCCUGAUGCAGCCAUGCCGCGUGUGUGAAGAAGGCUCUAGGGUUGUAAAGCACUUUCAGCGAGGAGGAAAGGUUGCUGGUUAAUACCCAGCGGCUGUGACGUUACUCGCAGAAGAAGCACCGGCUAACUCCGUGCCAGCAGCCGCGGUAAUACGGAGGGUGCGAGCGUUAAUCGGAAUUACUGGGCGUAAAGCGUGCGUAGGCGGCCAUGUAAGUUGGAUGUGAAAGCCCCGGGCUC